Molecule: ribosomal RNA, 390 nt
Filed under: Albinaria nivea
Lineage: Eukaryota; Metazoa; Mollusca; Gastropoda; Stylommatophora; Clausiliidae
Description: partial 16S ribosomal RNA
Rfam family: Bacterial large subunit ribosomal RNA
Source: RNAcentral
UCGACUGUUUAUCAAAAACAUAGCCAUAAGUAAACGUUUAUGGUAUUAUCUGCCCGGUGAAAAUUUUAACGGCCGCAGUACCUUGACUGUGCAAAGGUAGCAUAAUCAUUUGACUUUUAAAUGGAGCCUGGAAUGAAAGAAAGCACGUAGACAACUUGUCUUGCUUACAAUAUUUCAAAAUUAUUAAAUGAGUGAAAAUACUCAUUGUUUAUAAAAUAGACGAGAAGACCCUUAGAAUUUUAAAAAUAUAUAAGGUUAAUCUUGUAAGAUUUUUUGUUGGGGCAACAAUAUUUCAUUUAAUAAAUAUUAUAAGGAUAAAUUAGUCGAUUUAAUAAUUAUAGAAAAAUUACCUAAGGGAUAACAGCAUAAUUUUUAUAGUAAGCUUGUGAC